This 66-nucleotide transfer RNA is filed under the name Didelphis virginiana (North American opossum). RNAcentral describes it as "tRNA-Cys". It matches the Rfam family "tRNA". From Rfam's summary of the family: Transfer RNA (tRNA) molecules are approximately 80 nucleotides in length. Their secondary structure includes four short double-helical elements and three loops (D, anti-codon, and T loops). Lineage: Eukaryota; Metazoa; Chordata; Mammalia; Didelphimorphia; Didelphidae. The record is from RNAcentral.
GACUUUGAAGUAUAAUAAUAUGUUGAAUUGCAAAUUCAGAGAUGUAGUAUAGAGCUGCCAAAGUCU